UACGAAGGGGGCUAGCGUUGCUCGGAAUCACUGGGCGUAAAGCGCACGUAGGCGGAUCGUUAAGUCGGAGGUGAAAUCCUGGAGCUCAACUCCAGAACUGCCUUCGAUACUGGCGAUCUUGGAGUCCGGGAGAGGUGAGUGGAACUCCGAGUGUAGAGGUGAAAUUCGUAGAUAUUCGGAAGAACACCAGUGGCGAAGGCGGCUCACUGGCCCGGUACUGACGCUGAGGUGCGAAAGCUAGGGGAGCGAACAGG
Molecule: ribosomal RNA, 254 nt
Filed under: uncultured bacterium
Lineage: Bacteria
Description: partial 16S ribosomal RNA
Rfam family: Bacterial small subunit ribosomal RNA
Source: RNAcentral